RNAcentral lists this ribosomal RNA (465 nucleotides) under Vreelandella stevensii. Its description in RNAcentral is "partial 16S ribosomal RNA". It matches the Rfam family "Bacterial small subunit ribosomal RNA", at positions 338 to 795 of the family's 1533-position model. The record is from RNAcentral. Lineage: Bacteria; Pseudomonadati; Pseudomonadota; Gammaproteobacteria; Oceanospirillales; Halomonadaceae.
CCUACGGGUGGCAGCAGUGGGGAAUAUUGGACAAUGGGCGAAAGCCUGAUCCAGCCAUGCCGCGUGUGUGAAGAAGGCCUUCGGGUUGUAAAGCACUUUCAGUGGGGAAGAAAGCCUUGGGGCUAAUACCCUCGAGGAAGGACAUCACCCACAGAAGAAGCACCGGCUAACUCCGUGCCAGCAGCCGCGGUAAUACGGAGGGUGCGAGCGUUAAUCGGAAUUACUGGGCGUAAAGCGCGCGUAGGCGGUCUGAUAAGCCGGUUGUGAAAGCCCCGGGCUCAACCUGGGAACGGCAUCCGGAACUGUCAGGCUAGAGUGCAGGGGAGGAAGGUAGAAUUCCCGGUGUAGCGGUGAAAUGCGUAGAGAUCGGGAGGAAUACCAGUGGCGAAGGCGGCCUUCUGGACUGACACUGACGCUGAGGUGCGAAAGCGUGGGUAGCAAACAGGAUUAGAUACCCCUGUAGUC